RNAcentral lists this ribosomal RNA (233 nucleotides) under uncultured bacterium. RNAcentral describes it as "partial 16S ribosomal RNA". It matches the Rfam family "Bacterial small subunit ribosomal RNA", at positions 1268 to 1500 of the family's 1533-position model. The record is from RNAcentral.
CAAAACUUCAAAAAUAGGUCUCAGUUCGGACUGUAGGCUGCAACUCGCCUACACGAAGUUGGAAUUGCUAGUAAUCGUGGAUCAGCAUGCCACGGUGAAUACGUUCCCGGGUCUUGUACACACCGCCCGUCACACCAUGGGAGCUGGUAACACCCGAAGUCAGUAGUCUAACCGCAAGGAGGACGCUGCCGAAGGUGGGAUUAGCGACUGGGGUGAAGUCGUAACAAGGUAGC